UUGCAUCUGAGGCCAGUGAGGAUGAGAACCUCCGGGGGCAGGAGGUUCGACUCGAGCGAAGCGAGAGAACGUUGCGUCAGCAACGGCCCGCAGGGCGAGCCACGAAGUGGUGAGUCAUC
RNAcentral lists this small RNA (119 nucleotides) under Klebsiella pneumoniae. RNAcentral's name for it is "partial RtT sRNA". It matches the Rfam family "RtT RNA", at positions 1 to 115 of the family's 130-position model. From Rfam's summary of the family: This family represents a bacterial cis-regulatory element known as RtT RNA. Lineage: Bacteria; Pseudomonadati; Pseudomonadota; Gammaproteobacteria; Enterobacterales; Enterobacteriaceae. The record is from RNAcentral. RNAcentral also lists the same sequence under 1 other name.